Molecule: ribosomal RNA, 1163 nt
Filed under: Goleter apudmare HA4340-LM2
Lineage: Bacteria; Bacillati; Cyanobacteriota; Cyanophyceae; Nostocales; Nodulariaceae
Also listed under: 1 other name
Description: bacterial SSU rRNA
Rfam family: Bacterial small subunit ribosomal RNA
Source: RNAcentral
GGGGAAUUUUCCGCAAUGGGCGAAAGCCUGACGGAGCAAUACCGCGUGAGGGAGGAAGGCUCUUGGGUCGUAAACCUCUUUUCUCAGGGAAGAAAAAAAUGACGGUACCUGAGGAAUAAGCAUCGGCUAACUCCGUGCCAGCAGCCGCGGUAAUACGGAGGAUGCAAGCGUUAUCCGGAAUGAUUGGGCGUAAAGCGUCCGCAGGUGGCGAUGUAAGUCUGCUGUUAAAGAGUGAGGCUCAACCUCAUAAAAGCAGUGGAAACUACAUGGCUAGAGUGCGUUCGGGGCAGAGGGAAUUCCUGGUGUAGCGGUGAAAUGCGUAGAGAUCAGGAAGAACACCGGUGGCGAAAGCGCUCUGCUAGGCCGCAACUGACACUGAGGGACGAAAGCUAGGGGAGCGAAUGGGAUUAGAUACCCCAGUAGUCCUAGCCGUAAACGAUGGAUACUAGGCGUGGCUUGUAUCGACCCGAGCCGUGCCGUAGCUAACGCGUUAAGUAUCCCGCCUGGGGAGUACGCACGCAAGUGUGAAACUCAAAGGAAUUGACGGGGGCCCGCACAAGCGGUGGAGUAUGUGGUUUAAUUCGAUGCAACGCGAAGAACCUUACCAAGACUUGACAUGUCGCGAAUCCUCUUGAAAGGGAGGAGUGCCUUCGGGAGCGCGAACACAGGUGGUGCAUGGCUGUCGUCAGCUCGUGUCGUGAGAUGUUGGGUUAAGUCCCGCAACGAGCGCAACCCUCGUUUUUAGUUGCCAGCAUUAAGUUGGGCACUCUAGAGAGACUGCCGGUGACAAACCGGAGGAAGGUGGGGAUGACGUCAAGUCAGCAUGCCCCUUACGUCUUGGGCUACACACGUACUACAAUGCUACGGACAAAGGGCAGCUACACAGCGAUGUGRUGCAAAUCCAAGAAACCGUAGCUCAGUUCAGAUCGCAGGCUGCAACUCGCCUGCGUGAAGGAGGAAUCGCUAGUAAUUGCAGGUCAGCAUACUGCAGUGAAUUCGUUCCCGGGCCUUGUACACACCGCCCGUCACACCAUGGAAGCUGGUCACGCCCGAAGUCAUUACCCCAACCUUUCGAGGAGGGGGAUGCCUAAGGCAGGACUGGUGACUGGGGUGAAGUCGUAACAAGGUAGCCGUACCGGAAGGUGUGGCUGGAUCACCUCCUU